CUACGGGUGGCAGCAGUGAGGAAUAUUGCACAAUGGGGGGAACCCUGAUGCAGCAACGCCGCGUGGAGGAUGACGCAUUUCGGUGUGUAAACUCCUUUUAUAUGUCAAGAAAAUGACGGUAGCAUAUGAAUAAGCACCGGCUAACUCCGUGCCAGCAGCCGCGGUAAUACGGAGGGUGCAAGCGUUACUCGGAAUCACUGGGCGUAAAGGACGCGUAGGCGGGUUGGAAAGUCAGGUGUGAAAUCCUACAGCUUAACUGUAGAACUGCACUUGAAACUCUCAAUCUAGAGUAUGGGAGGGGCAGAUGGAAUUAGUGGUGUAGGGGUAAAAUCCGUAGAUAUCACUAGGAAUACCUAAAGCGAAGGCGAUCUGCUGGAACAUUACUGACGCUAAGGCGUGAAAGCGUGGGGAGCAAACAGGAUUAGAUACCCGCGUAGUC
RNAcentral lists this ribosomal RNA (439 nucleotides) under uncultured bacterium. RNAcentral's name for it is "partial 16S ribosomal RNA". It matches the Rfam family "Bacterial small subunit ribosomal RNA", at positions 339 to 795 of the family's 1533-position model. The record is from RNAcentral.